UCCCUGAAAGUCCAGUGGCAUGACUCAGCACUUUUACUGCUGCAUCCCAGGUUCAAUCCCUGGUUAGGGAA
This is a non-coding RNA of Odocoileus virginianus texanus, 71 nucleotides long. The record is from the annotation of a RefSeq genome assembly. Lineage: Eukaryota; Metazoa; Chordata; Mammalia; Artiodactyla; Cervidae.